AGUGAACGCUGGCGGUAGGCCUAACACAUGCAAGUCGAACGGCAGCACAGUAAGAGCUUGCUCUUACGGGUGGCGAGUGGCGGACGGGUGAGGAAUACAUCGGAAUCUACUUUUUCGUGGGGGAUAACGUAGGGAAACUUACGCUAAUACCGCAUACGACCUACGGGUGAAAGCAGGGGAUCUUCGGACCUUGCGCGAUUGAAUGAGCCGAUGUCGGAUUAGCUAGUUGGCGGGGUAAAGGCCCACCCAGGCGACGAUCCGUAGCUGGUCUGAGAGGAUGAUCAGCCGCACUGGAACUGAGACACGGUCCAGACUCCUACGAGAGGCAGCAGUGGGGAAUAUUGGACAAUGGGCGCAAGCCUGAUCCAGCCAUACCGCGUGGGUGAAGAAGGCCUUCGGGUUGUAAAGCCCUUUUGUUGGGAAAGAAAAGCAGCAGGUUAAUACCCCGCUGUUCUGACGGUACCCAAAGAAUAAGCACCGGCUAACUUCGUG
Molecule: ribosomal RNA, 492 nt
Filed under: uncultured bacterium
Lineage: Bacteria
Description: partial 16S ribosomal RNA
Rfam family: Bacterial small subunit ribosomal RNA
Source: RNAcentral